AUGGCCUCCUCCUCCUCCUCCUCCUCCUACAUGCCCCUCAGGAGGUCCGACAGCGUCGCCGACAUGAUGCCCGAGGCGCUGCGCCAGAGCCGCUACCAGAUGAAGAGGUGCUUCCAGAGGUACGUCUCCAAGGGCAGGAGGCUGAUGAAGAACCAGCAGCUGAUGGAGGAGCUGGAGGCGUCGGCGGGCGACGACAAGCCCGAGAAGGCCAGGCUCGCCGAGGGCUUCCUCGGCUACGUCAUCUGCUCCACGCAGGAGGCCGUCGUGCUCCCUCCCCUCGUCGCCUUCGCCGUCCGGACCAACCCCGGCGUCUGGGAGUUCAUCAGGGUGCACUCCGGGGACCUCUCCGUCGAGGAGAUCACGCCAUCCGCUUACCUCAAGUGCAAGGAGACCCUCUACGACGAAAAAUGGGCGCGCGAUGAUAACUCGCUGGAGGUCGAUUUCGGCGCGCUGGACCUCUCCACGCCUCACCUGACGCUGCCGUCGUCCAUCGGGAAUGGGAUGCAGUUCGUCUCCCGGUUCAUGUCCUCGAAGCUAAGCGGCAAGCCGGAGAGCAUGAAGCCGCUGCUGGACUACCUGCUCGCGCUGAACUACCGUGGCGAAAAACUGAUGAUCAGCGACACCCUAGACACCGCCGACAAGCUUCAAACAGCAUUGCUUCUCGCAGAGGUCUUUAUCUCCAGCCUAGAGAAGAGCACACCGUACCAGCAGUUUGAACAAAGGUUUCAGGAGUGGGGUUUGGAGAAGGGGUGGGGUGACACUGCCGAAACAUGCAGAGAAACACUCAACUUCCUCUCCGAAGUGCUCCAGGCGCCGGAUCCCAUCAACAUGGAGAAGUUCUUCAGCAGGGUGCCGUCGGUGUUCAACAUCGUCAUCUUCUCCAUCCAUGGUUACUUUGGUCAAGAGAAGGUCCUUGGGUUGCCAGACACCGGUGGUCAGGUAGUUUACAUCCUGGACCAAGUUAGAGCUCUUGAACAGGAAUUGUUGCAAAGAAUCAGGAAGCAGGGCCUGAACGUUACCCCGAGGAUUCUUGUGUUAACAAGACUCAUACCGGACGCAAAGGGCACCAAGUGCAACGUUGAGCUUGAACCGGUCGAGCACACGAAACACUCGAGCAUCCUCCGCGUGCCAUUCAAAACUGACGAUGGGAAAGAUCUUCGUCAGUGGGUCUCCCGGUUUGACAUUUAUCCUUACCUGGAGAGAUAUGCUCAGGAUUCUUCUGUCAAGAUUCUUGACAUUCUGGAGGGGAAGCCAGACAUGGUCAUCGGCAAUUACACCGAUGGCAAUCUAGUAGCAUCCCUCUUGUCGAGCAAGCUAGGAGUUACCCAGGGAACGAUCGCACAUGCUCUUGAGAAGACAAAGUACGAGGAUUCGGAUGUCAAGUGGAGAGAAAUGGAUCACAAGUACCAUUUCUCCUGCCAAUUUACUGCCGACAUGAUUGCCAUGAACACUAGCGACUUCAUCAUCGCUAGCACCUACCAAGAAAUAGCAGGAAGCAAAGACAAACCAGGCCAGUAUGAGAGCCACUACGCCUUCACAAUGCCAGGGCUGUGUCGCUACGCCACAGGCGUCAACGUCUUUGACCCCAAGUUCAACAUCGCCGCCCCAGGCGCUGAUCAAUCUGUUUACUUCCCCUUCACGCAAAAGCAGGCACGGCUGACAGACCUGCACCCCCAAAUCGAGGAGCUACUCUACAGCAAGGAGGACAAUGAUGAGCACUUAGGGUACCUACAAGACAGAAGCAGGCCAAUCAUUUUCUCUAUGGCAAGGCUUGACAAGGUGAAGAACAUUACCGGGCUGGUCGAGUGGUAUGGUGAGAACAAGAAGCUCAGGGACCUUGUCAACCUGGUCAUCGUUGGGGGGCUCCUGGAACCUUCACAGUCAAAUGACAGAGAAGAGAUCGAGGAGAUCAACAAGAUGCACAGCUUGAUGGACAAGUACCAGCUCAAGGGACAGAUCCGCUGGAUCAAAGCACAGACCGAGCGCGUGCGCAACGGUGAGCUGUACCGUUGCAUUGCAGACACCAGGGGCGCCUUCGUUCAGCCUGCACUCUACGAGGCAUUUGGACUGACGGUCAUCGAGGCGAUGAACUGUGGGCUGCCAACCUUUGCAACAAAUCAAGGAGGACCCGCAGAAAUCAUCGUCAAUGAGGUUUCGGGUUUCCACAUCAACCCACUCAACGGCAAGGAGGCAAGCGACAAGAUAGCAGCCUUCUUUCAGAAAUGCAAGGAGGACCCCACCUACUGGAACAAGAUGUCCACUGCUGGACUCCAGCGCAUCUAUGAGUGUUACACGUGGCAGAUUUACGCAACUAAAGUUCUGAACAUGGGGUCGAUGUACGGCUUCUGGAGGACUCUGAACAAGGAAGAGAGGCAGGCCAAACAGCUCUACCUACAGAUGUUCUACAACCUUCAGUUCAGGCAGCUGGUGAAGACUGUCCCGAAGGUGGGCGAACAACCCGCACAGCCUACGACGGGAAGCACGGCGCCCGCUAGGAUUGCGCCGAGGCCAAGAGAAAGAAGGCCACGGACGAGGAUUCAGAGGAUAGCGACCAACUUAUUCGGCCCAGUGCUCCCACCCUCCAACUUCUCCCAGGAUGCAGCCUGA
RNAcentral lists this ribosomal RNA (2607 nucleotides) under Triticum aestivum (bread wheat). RNAcentral's name for it is "partial small subunit ribosomal RNA". Lineage: Eukaryota; Viridiplantae; Streptophyta; Magnoliopsida; Poales; Poaceae. The record is from RNAcentral.